RNAcentral lists this ribosomal RNA (1306 nucleotides) under uncultured bacterium. RNAcentral's name for it is "bacterial SSU rRNA". It matches the Rfam family "Bacterial small subunit ribosomal RNA", at positions 44 to 1311 of the family's 1533-position model. The record is from RNAcentral.
GUGCCUGAGAUAUGCAAGUCGAGCGUCCGCAACCUGCAGCACCCAACAACUAACAAUCAACGUGUGGUAGUCGAUUGUUGGAAGUUGAGUGUUGUGGGUUGCGAAGCGGCGGACGGCUGAGUAAUACGUAGAAACCUGCCCCUGGGUAGAAAAUAGCUCACCGAAAGGUGGGGUAAUAUUUUAUAAUGUCUUUUGACCAAAGGGCUUAACGGCUCGCCCAUGGAGGGGUCUGCGGCCUAUCAGGUAGUUGGUGGGGUAACGGCCUACCAAGCCAAUGACGGGUAGCUGGUCUGAGAGGAUGUACAGCCAGAGGAGCACUGAGACACGGGCUCCACUCCUACGGGAGGCAGCAAUCAGGAAUAGUCGGCAAUGGGCGAAAGCCUGACCGCGCGACUUCGCGUGUAGGAAGAAGCUCUAACGAGUGUAAACUACUGUGGUAGAGGAAGAAGUCCGCCGAUUCGGCGGAUUGACGGUACUCUACUAGAAAGGGGCCGCUAACUGCGUGCCAGAAGCGUCGGUAAGACGUGGGCCCCAAGCGUUAUCCGGUGUCACUGGGCGUAAAGGGUCGUGUAGGCGUCCUGAUGAGUCCCGACUUAAAUUCUAUAGCCUAACUAUAGGAAAGGUCGAGAUACUAUCAGGAUUGAAUUUCCUCUAGGGAGACUGGAACUUACAGUGUAGCAGUGAAAUGCGUUGAUACUAUAAGGAACACCAGUGGCGAAGGCGAGUCUCUGGGAGGAAAUUGACGCUGAGACACUAAAGCUAGGGGAGCGAAGCAGAUUAGAGACCUGCGUAGUCCUAGCCCUAAACGCAUGCUUGCUAGCUGCAUUUUCCCAAUUUUGGGAGGGUGUGGCGAAGGUAACCCGUUAAGCAAGCCGCCUGGGGAGUACGGUCGCAAGGCUGAAACUCAAAGGAAUUGGCGGGGAGGCACACAACCAGUGGAACAUGUGGUUCAAUUCGAUACGAACCGAAGAACCUCACCAAGACUUGACAUCCAGCUGCACGCUCCGAGAAAUCGGAGAAUCCUUCGAGGGUGCUGGACAGGUGUUGCAUGGCUGUCGUCAGCUCGUUCCGUGAGGAGUACCCUUAAGUGGGACAACGAGCGCAACCCCCACCUUGUGUUACAAGUGUCACAAGGAACUGCCCUGCUCAUGAGCGGGGAGGAAGGAGGGGCAGACGUCAAGUCAGCAUGACCCUUAUGUCUUGGGCUACACACAUGUUACAAUGGACAGUAACAGAGGGCCUUGCCACGCAGUAAUGCGCAGCUAAUCCCUAAAACCUGUCCUUAGUGGGGAUUGAGGUCUGGAAC